RNAcentral lists this ribosomal RNA (474 nucleotides) under Triticum aestivum (bread wheat). RNAcentral's name for it is "partial small subunit ribosomal RNA". The record is from RNAcentral. Lineage: Eukaryota; Viridiplantae; Streptophyta; Magnoliopsida; Poales; Poaceae.
AUGUCGAUGUCGAGCCACCGACUGCUACUGGAGAGACGGCAAGACGCCGCGCCGGUGAAGAUGAAAAUGGUCCCGCCCAGACUACGAAAUCGGCAGCAGCGUGGUAGCAUAGUACCGCCCCACGGUGGGCACCAACUGUCGUGGUAUUCUCACGGGGGGCUUGCGAGUCGACAGAUGCCACAAGGGCUUAGUGUGAGGGUAAGACUGCUGCUGAUAGGCCCGGGAGCGGGUAUGCGAGUAGCACGCGCUAGUUUACCCAGGUUCGGGGCUCUCCGGAGAGAUAAUACCCCUACUCCUGCAUGUCUGAGUAUAUGUGGUAUAUCUGGUACAGAGUUGCUCCUGGAGCUGUAUCUAAGCUCAGUGCCAUAUGCAUCUGGCUUUGUAUAUGUCUCAUAUGUGGCAUGCUCUAGUGGCCGGCCAUGCUCAUGGUUCGUGGCCGUGAGCAUGUGUGUGCUCGUGCGUGAGUGCAUGUGA